RNAcentral lists this non-coding RNA (22 nucleotides) under Arabidopsis thaliana (thale cress). Lineage: Eukaryota; Viridiplantae; Streptophyta; Magnoliopsida; Brassicales; Brassicaceae. The record is from RNAcentral.
UAUGGUGUGUUUUUAUGUUCGU